CUCACGGUGGGACAUGGGCUCAGGGAGAGGGACGGAAUUUCUUGCAGAUCCUGGUAGAGUUGUGUGCUCCUCGCCCAUCUCCUAGUGUUCCUCUGGAAACAAUCAUCUUCAGCUCUUCCAGUCACCAGCAAAUGGGGACUCUGUUGCCUGCUCUGUGUCUACAGCUGCCUAGAGAGUUCCCAUGCAGAAGAACUCCUUCUAGCAAACAUAAUCAGAUGCUAAAUGGACGGCGCCAGUAUCACCUACCUGCAAACAGUAAAAUGGAUGAAGAAACUAAGAUGAACCAGGCCUCCCAAAGUCCAGGCCUUUUAACUCAUUUCUGGAUUAUAACCCUGGGUCCACUGAAGUGGCCCCUCCGCUCUCCCACCAUCUGCUUGAGUUCUUCGUGCCUGGGCAUCUGGGAUGGGGCACAUUGCCUCGGCUGCUUCUCUACUGUGGGGGUGUCCCCUUUGGAAGUGAGGCUGCCUCCUCUCUGAGAACCUCCCUCCUCUCUGAGAACCUCCCUCCUACAGUGCUGAGCUGACCCAAAGUACUCAAAGAUCACAGGC
Myodes glareolus (Bank vole) is the source of this 548-nucleotide non-coding RNA. Lineage: Eukaryota; Metazoa; Chordata; Mammalia; Rodentia; Cricetidae. The record is from RefSeq and is a predicted model, not a curated record.